This 461-nucleotide ribosomal RNA is filed under the name uncultured bacterium. RNAcentral describes it as "partial 16S ribosomal RNA". It matches the Rfam family "Bacterial small subunit ribosomal RNA", at positions 338 to 795 of the family's 1533-position model. The record is from RNAcentral.
CCUACGGGUGGCAGCAGUGAGGAAUAUUGGUCAAUGGGCGCGAGCCUGAACCAGCCAAGUAGCGUGAAGGAUGACUGCCCUACGGGUUGUAAACUUCUUUUGCCGGGGAGCAGAGGUCCGGACGUGUCCGGGCCGGGAGAGUACCCGGAGAAAAAGCAUCGGCUAACUCCGUGCCAGCAGCCGCGGUAAUACGGAGGAUGCGAGCGUUAUCCGGAUUUAUUGGGUUUAAAGGGAGCGGAGGUGGAUUGUUAAGGCAGUUGUGAAAGUUUGCGGCUCAACCGUAAAAUUGCAGUUGAAACUGGCAGUCUUGAGUACAGUAGAGGUGGGCGGAAUUCGUGGUGUAGCGGUGAAAUGCUUAGAUAUCACGAAGAACUCCGAUUGCGAAGGCAGCUCACUGGACUGCAACUGACACUGAGGCUCGAGAGUGUGGGUAUCAAACAGGAUUAGAUACCCCUGUAGUC